GAUGAACGCUAGCUACAGGCUUAACACAUGCAAGUCGAGGGGAAACGGCAUCGAAAGCUUGCUUUUGAUGGGCGUCGACCGGCGCACGGGUGAGUAACGCGUAUCCAACCUGCCCAUCACUUGGGAAUAACCUUGCGAAAGUAAGACUAAUGCCCAAUGACAUCCCACGAAGGCAUCCGAAUGGGAUUAAAGAUUUAUCGGUGAUGGAUGGGGAUGCGUCUGAUUAGCUUGUUGGCGGGGUGACGGCCCACCAAGGCAACGAUCAGUAGGGGUUCUGAGAGGAAGGUCCCCCACAUUGGAACUGAGACACGGUCCAAACUCCUACGGGAGGCAGCAGUGAGGAAUAUUGGUCAAUGGGCGAGAGCCUGAACCAGCCAAGUAGCGUGCAGGAUGACGGCCCUAUGGGUUGUAAACUGCUUUUAGAAGGGAAUAAAGUGGGUCACGUGUGACUUUUUGCAUGUACCUUAUGAAUAAGAACCGGCUAAUUCCGUG
Molecule: ribosomal RNA, 492 nt
Filed under: uncultured bacterium
Lineage: Bacteria
Description: partial 16S ribosomal RNA
Rfam family: Bacterial small subunit ribosomal RNA
Source: RNAcentral